RNAcentral lists this long non-coding RNA (483 nucleotides) under Chinchilla lanigera (long-tailed chinchilla). RNAcentral describes it as "lncRNA (ENSCLAG00000026752.1)". Lineage: Eukaryota; Metazoa; Chordata; Mammalia; Rodentia; Chinchillidae. The record is from RNAcentral.
UUUUUUUUUUUUUUUUUUUUCCGGUACCAGGGAUCGAACUCACGACCUUGCGCUUGCCAGGCAGGCACUGUGCUGCUGAGCUAAAUCCCCAGCCCAACUCACUCUUUAUUACCUAGGAUGUGGUCUGGUCCCCAGCCAGGCAGGACCUCAGAGCUUAGUUCUGAUCCUCCUGCUGUUUUUGCUCUGGACGUCCUCCUUGGUGGCCACACAUACUCCACACUUUCACUGCUACCCUUGUGCCUGGUGUCUGGUCCAGGGCCGAGCCCAGAUGUCUUCAAGGCUGCUUUUCAACAACUGGCUGUCCACUGGACAUUUCCACCUGAAGUCUCCCAGGCUGGAAGCCACCAGAGCUUUUCACGGGGCUGUGUCCCUUGCAUGGUGGGUCUGUUCACUCUCUAGCUAAACAGUCCUCCCUGCUUCCAUGAAGAUGACCACAUUUCUCCUAAAGUCCUUUGAAGUCUGCAGCCCAACAUCACAACAGGA